RNAcentral lists this non-coding RNA (30 nucleotides) under Homo sapiens (human). The record is from RNAcentral. Lineage: Eukaryota; Metazoa; Chordata; Mammalia; Primates; Hominidae.
UCCUGGCGUAAGUCUUGAAGAUGGACCCAA